GAGCCGUAUGCGGUGAGAGUCGCACGUACGGUAACGAGGGGGGUUUUCAUUUAUACGUGUAGUGCGGUGGUUGGGCCUACCCACCCUAU
Non-coding RNA from Lupinus angustifolius (narrow-leaved blue lupine), 89 nucleotides. Lineage: Eukaryota; Viridiplantae; Streptophyta; Magnoliopsida; Fabales; Fabaceae. The record is from Rfam.